AGAGUUUGAUCAUGGCUCAGAAUCAACGCUGGCGGCGGCUUAACACAUGCAAGUCGAACGAGAAAGGGGAGCAAUCCCUGAGUACAGUGGCGUACGGGUGAGUAACACGUGGAUGAUCUAUCUCUUAGUGGGGAAUAGCCCUGGGAAACCGGGGAUAAUACCGCAUAAGCUCGAGAGAGGAAAGCAGCAAUGCGCUGAGAGAGGAGUCCGCGGCCGAUUAGCUAGUUGGCAGGGUAAGAGCCUACCAAGGCAGAGAUCGGUAGCCAGCCUGAGAGGGCACACGGCCACACUGGCACUGAAACACGGGCCAGACUCCUACAGGAGGCAGCAGUGGGGAAUCUUGCACAAUGGGAACAACCCUGAUGCAGCGACGCCACGUGAGCGAUGAAGCCCUUCGGGAUGUAAAGCUCUUUCGGCAGGGAAGAUAAUGACGGUACCUGCAGAAGCAGCUGCGGCUAACUACGUGCCAGCAGCCGCGGUAAUACGUAGGCAGCGAGCGUUGUUCGGAGUUACUGGGCGUAAAGGGUGUGUAGGCGGUUGUUUAAGUUUGGUGUGAAAUCUCCCGGCUCAACUGGGAGGGUGCGCCGAAUACUGAAUGACUUCGAGUACGGGAGAGGUGAGUGGAAUUCCUGGUAUAGCGGUGAAAUGCGUAGAUAUCAGGAGGAACACCGGUGGUGUAGACGGCUCACUGGACCGUAACUGACGCUGAGACACGAAAGCGUGGGUAGCAAACAGGAUUAGAUACCCUAGUAGUCC
RNAcentral lists this ribosomal RNA (756 nucleotides) under uncultured bacterium. RNAcentral's name for it is "bacterial SSU rRNA". It matches the Rfam family "Bacterial small subunit ribosomal RNA", at positions 8 to 796 of the family's 1533-position model. The record is from RNAcentral.